GCCGUCGCAUGCUGAUGAAAAAUGUACAAAUUCAGUUAACGCUGAUGUGCCUGGUUUCAGACUUUUUCGAGGACUGGGUGGAUGUGGAAAUUGUCGAUGUCUGUUUUAACCUCAUCAGUUCUGGAUGUACAUAGUGUUCCUAAGAAGUACGCUGAUUCCAUUGAGACAUCUUUUGCGCCUUUUUAUUUUUCUCAGUAAAACAUUUUUUUCUACCUUUUACAUAUGUACAUUUUCUAUUAAAAUAACCAAUUAGAGACUAACUUGCUGUCCUUUCAAUCAAUUUCUCUUAAAAUGCCAGUAUUACUCAGGGUACAGUUGUUACGAAAUAUUUUCGACUUCAAAUCACCUUUGAAACACAAAUAAUUUGUGGCCUUUGAGCUUUAAGUGUGUGAGG
This is a long non-coding RNA of Etheostoma cragini (Arkansas darter), 394 nucleotides long. RefSeq lists it as uncharacterized. The record is from RefSeq and is a predicted model, not a curated record. The transcript has 2 exons. NCBI's taxonomy places the organism in Eukaryota, Metazoa, Chordata, Actinopteri, Perciformes, Percidae.